UUCCGGUUGAUCCUGCCGGAGGACAUUGCUAUUGGGAUUCGAUUUAGCCAUGCUAGUCGAGCGAGUUUAGACUCGCGGCGCAUAGCUCAGUAACACGUGGCCAAGCUACCCUUCAGUCGGCGAUACCCUCGGGAAACUGAGGUCAACAGCCGAUACGGAACGGCUGCUGGAAUGCAGCGUUCUUCAAAGAUUACGCUGAAGGAUGCGGCUGCGGCCGAUUAGGUAGACGGUGGGGUAACGGCCCACCGUGCCAGUAAUCGGUACGGGUGAUGAGAGUCAGAGCCCGGAGACGGAAUCUGAGACAAGAUUCCGGGCCCUACGGGGCGCAGCAGGCGCGAAACCUUUACACUGCACGGAAGUGCGAUAGGGGAAUCCCAAGUGCGAGGGCAUAUUAGCCCUCGCUUUUGUUGACCGUAAGGAGGUCAACGAAUAAGAGCUGGGCAAGACCGGUGCCAGCCGCCGCGGU
Molecule: ribosomal RNA, 466 nt
Filed under: uncultured archaeon
Lineage: Archaea
Description: bacterial SSU rRNA
Rfam family: Archaeal small subunit ribosomal RNA
Source: RNAcentral